AAGAGCUUGUUGCGGCGCAUUUUAGAGGAUUUUUAAUUAUAAAUUUAUAAUUACAUCAAGAAAUUUACCGUCUAUCCCAUCUCAGUUAAGGUAAGGGGGUAAGUUGGCCCUACGGAAGUACUGAAAAGUGAUUAUUUAUAUUAUGUUCAUAUAUUUCCUCCUAUAUCACAGCCAUGUUGAAGUAGUGUUGAUUUUACUAAGUUUUCAUCAGUUUAUCGUCUCAAAAAGUUAAACGUUGAUCACAAGUAUAUGUGAAAGACCCAAGUUAAGUUUGUGUUGUGAAAGUAAAAAGUUAAAAGUCUAUCAAUAUGAAAAGUGUUAUAAAGUGCCACCGAAUCUGGCGUCGAGGCGUCAUCUUUAAGGUAAGGCUGGAUGUGUCUUCAAUAUACAUCAGAACGUAGCAUUAUAACGGUUGUGACAUCAGCCAACAAAAAAUCACGUACAUAGCAGUUAUACAAUAUUGAACAUUCGUAAUUUCAUAUUAUACAUUAGGUUGCUUUGUACACAAGUGCAAACAACACCUUUGUGCCAAGAAUCGACAUUAAAUUUACCGAAUAUUUCGUACCAUUAAAUUAAAGCUGAGCUUGUUCUUAUCUACAGUCUAUAAGCAAAACAUUUUCUUUUCAUACAUAAACUGUUUUGUUUCCAUACAUCACUUGCUUGCACAUGAAAUAAGAAAGUGUGUACUAACUGUUAAAUAUUUUGGUCUGAAAUGCUAAUUUAACUAGUAACUAUGAUCUCAAGGAAUGCUUUUGGGUUGGGUACCUUGAGCCACAUUUACAAUCUUCAUAUAAAAUCACACUCUGUUCUCAGGGAUGGAUUCAGAAGAUUCCCGUGAUGGUCAGGGAGAUGCACAGUCGUCCUCAAGUAGUAGCAGCUCAAGCUCCAGAAGUCGACGGAGCUCAUCAUCAAGUGUAUCAUCUAAAAAGGAUGCUAAAUCACCUCCACAUUCACCUCCUCGGUCACCACCACGAUCGCCACCGCGUUCCCCACCUCAAUCACCCCCCAGAUCACCUCCAUCGCCAAAUUCAGAUGGCCCUAGGUCUCCUUCACCUGACAACCACUCACGGUCUCCUUCACUGCGGUCUCAAUCUCCUAGUAAACCUCGCUCUCCCAGUAACUUGAGUGGAGCUCAUUCAGAUAUAAAUUCACCUGAAAAUUCCAUGCCAACAUCUCCUGCUGGCCCAAAGUCCCCAGAUGCUCCUAAGUCACCCAGUGAGCCUGGUUCUCCUGAUAAUCGUGAGCAGUACUCAGGGCGUCAUUCAGGUGGUGAGGGUCCAAAAACUCCUCAAAGUCCAAGUAGUUCAGUGCGGUCUGGUCCUGGAUCUCCUGACACUAGGUCUCGGCCUGCUUCACCAGACUCUGCGUCUCAGGCAACAUCCCCUUCAAGAAAUCCUGAUCGAAGUUCCCGCCCCUCAAGCCCCUCUCCUGAUAGGAAUUCGUCAAGGUCUUCAGUAGUAAUGUCACCAAAAAAACGUGAAUGGAGCCCUAAAGAAAAUUGGAGGAGGCAUACUAAAGCCGAGCAGAAAAUGGUACCUCGGUCACGAGAAAGAAGCAGAUCAGAAUCUAGUCAGUCGAGUAGGAGCUCUUCAUAUAAUAAGAGAACUAGUGCUAAGGAUCCUGCCACUGAAGAGAUUUCUGAAGGUGAAAUGGAAUCAGACCAGGAGGAAGAUAAGAAAUCUAGGAGUAAAUCACAAAGUAGCGAUAAACCUGAUGGAAAAGACUUGAAUAUCAGCCAUGAAGACCUGUCAGAUGUAUCAGAUCUUGACUCUAUAGGACCAGAUGACAGUGCUAAAGGAUCAAAGCCUAAAUCUGCACCUGCGUCUCCAGAAAAACCGGAAGUCAAUGGAAAUAAUGGGAUCAGCUCACAAUCAUCACCUAAAUCUCCUAAAUCAGACAGCGGGAAAGUAGAUACACCAAAAUUGGACAAAGUUCCCCUAGAAAAGACCAGUAACACAGAGGAUGGGGAGGAGCAACUAGACUUUGAAGCCGAGGAAGGUGAAUGUGUGGAGCCUAAAACUGCCGAACAGGCUAAUGGAGAUGGAGAGAUUGUUGACAAAGCAGAAGAAGUGAAGCCGCGCCGUGUAUCUCGAGGCUCAUCGCUGGAAGAAGGCGAAGUGUCGGAUGAGGCCGAACGUAGACCUGAAGAGAGUGAACCAAGACCUGUGUGCCGGUUCUUCUCGCGCGGUGCUUGCACGUGGGGCGUCAGCUGCAGGUUUCUACACCCAGGGGUGACGGACAAGGGCAACUACAACAUGUUCGACGUGGUGCGAGGAGUCCCCGCAACGGGCUACACUGCGCCGCCGCGCGAUGCCGCCCCGCCCGAGUCCGCCUGGGAACGUGGCCUGAGAACCGCCAAGGAGAUGCUAAGGAUAGCGAACAAACGCAAGGAGCAAGACAUGGAUUUCGAGGAAAAGAAGCUGCAUCUCUCCGUAGGAGGUGUUGUUCACGACCCUGAUGCAGAGUUGGCUUACGCGGCAGCCGCCGUUGGUGCCUCACCGCCUAGGCAUGAACCUAUGCGCGAUCCUGAUGUAUUUAGACCAGGACAUGACGUGCACGGUCCCUACGGGCCGAUGUACCGUGGACGCUUCCCGCGGCCAGUACUGGAUGAGCGUGAGCGAUUCUUCGAGCGGGAGCGAGUUUAUGAGCGUGAGCGGGUGUACGACCGAGGGCACUACGAUGAGCGCUCCGUUAUGGCCGAGGAACCGGCCUACCAUAAGCGUCGUGUGCGAUCUUCCCGCGAAGUGAUCGUCCAACGCGCCGAAGUGGAACGUCGCGAGGCGCGCGAGGGGCGGCGGGACGUGCGGGACGGGCGGGCGCGGGACGUGCGGGACGCGCGGGACGCGCGGGACAUGCGGGACAUGCGGGACGGGCGGGACGUGCGGGACGGGCGCGGCGACGACUGGGCCGACCCCUGGAUGCGCGCCGAGCCCGCCGCGCGCCGCCGCCGUCCGCCCUCCUCUGACGAAUCCUACUCCUCCUCAAGCUCUCGCAGCUCGCGGUCGCCGGGCGCGCGCCGUAAGCGGAGGGCCUCCUCGUCCUCCAGGCAACGGAUGAAGUUGAUCCAUAUGGCCGCACCAAAGCAUCUAGUCGAAACAGAGACCGAAAACGGUACUCCAGAUCAUCAUCAUCUGGUUCAGAAUCAUCAUCGUCGUCCAGCGAGUCGGAGAGCGAGUCUCAUUCAUCAUCGUCAUCUGGAAGCUCCGGGGCGCGGCGCGCGCGGCAGGCGCGACUCCUCAACGCCGCCGCGAGGCCUAGGUUAAACGCUAAGUCCAGUGCCGGUUUAGCAGCUGCAGUCUCAACAACUGUAGCAAGUAAAAAGGAAUCCACUAGUGAUAAAGAAUCCGGUGGCAAGAAGCGGCCAGCUGGCUCACCGCCGAACUCGGGACCAGCAAAGAAA
Molecule: unclassified non-coding RNA, 3400 nt
Filed under: Leguminivora glycinivorella
Lineage: Eukaryota; Metazoa; Arthropoda; Insecta; Lepidoptera; Tortricidae
Description: zinc finger CCCH domain-containing protein 18-like, transcript variant X3
Source: RNAcentral